UGGGGAAUAUUGCACAAUGGGCGAAAGCCUGAUGCAGCGACGCCGCGUGAGUGAAGAAGUAUUUCGGUAUGUAAAGCUCUAUCAGCAGGGAAGAAAAUGACGGUACCUGACUAAGAAGCCCCGGCUAACUACGUGCCAGCAGCCGCGGUAAUACGUAGGGGGCAAGCGUUAUCCGGAUUUACUGGGUGUAAAGGGAGCGUAGACGGUAAAGCAAGUCUGAAGUGAAAGCCCGCGGCUCAACUGCGGGACUGCUUUGGAAACUGUUUAACUGGAGUGUCGGAGAGGUAAGUGGAAUUCCUAGUGUAGCGGUGAAAUGCGUAGAUAUUAGGAGGAACACCAGUGGCGAAGGCGACUUACUGGACGAUAACUGACGUUGAGGCUCGAAAGCGUGGGGAGCAAACAGG
RNAcentral lists this ribosomal RNA (404 nucleotides) under uncultured Clostridium sp. RNAcentral's name for it is "bacterial SSU rRNA". It matches the Rfam family "Bacterial small subunit ribosomal RNA", at positions 355 to 776 of the family's 1533-position model. The record is from RNAcentral. Lineage: Bacteria; Bacillati; Bacillota; Clostridia; Eubacteriales; Clostridiaceae.